AACAAACGCUGGCGGCGUGCCUAAUACAUCCAAGUCGAACGGGGAAAGCUUUCGGGUGAGUACUAGUGGCGCACGGGUGAGGAACGCGUGGAUAAUCUGCCUUAGAGUGGGGGAUAACUAGUCGAAAGAUUAGCUAAUACCGCAUAAGACCACGAGAGCUGCGGCUUUUGAGGUCAAAGGUUUUUCGCUCUAAGAUGAGUCCGCGUAAGAUUAGCUAGUUGGUGAGGUAACGGCUCACCAAGGCGACGAUCUUUAACUGGUCUGAGAGGAUGAUCAGUCACACUGGAACUGAGACACGGUCCAGACUCCUACGGGAGGCAGCAGUAGGGAAUAUUGCACAAUGGAGGAAACUCUGAUGCAGCGACGCCGCGUGAGUGAUGAAGGCCUUCGGGUCGUAAAGCUCUGUCGCAGGGGAAUAACACAAUGAAGGUACCCUGUAAGAAAGGAUCGGCUAACUUCGUG
RNAcentral lists this ribosomal RNA (462 nucleotides) under uncultured bacterium. Its description in RNAcentral is "partial 16S ribosomal RNA". It matches the Rfam family "Bacterial small subunit ribosomal RNA", at positions 29 to 507 of the family's 1533-position model. The record is from RNAcentral.